RNAcentral lists this small nuclear RNA (99 nucleotides) under Mastacembelus armatus (zig-zag eel). Its description in RNAcentral is "U2 spliceosomal RNA (ENSMAMG00000028284.1)". It matches the Rfam family "U2 spliceosomal RNA", at positions 1 to 92 of the family's 192-position model. From Rfam's summary of the family: U2 is a small nuclear RNA (snRNA) component of the spliceosome (involved in pre-mRNA splicing). Complementary binding between U2 snRNA (in an area lying towards the 5' end but 3' to hairpin I) and the branchpoint sequence (BPS) of the intron results the bulging out of an unpaired adenosine, on the BPS, which initiates a nucleophilic attack at the intronic 5' splice site, thus starting the first of two transesterification reactions that mediate splicing. Lineage: Eukaryota; Metazoa; Chordata; Actinopteri; Synbranchiformes; Mastacembelidae. The record is from Rfam by way of RNAcentral.
AUCGCUUCUCGGCCUUUUGGCUAAGAUCAAGUGUAGUAUCUGUUCUUAUCAGUUUAAUAUCUGAUAAAGAGCACGUACGUUGGAGGGUUUUCAUGGUCU